This 504-nucleotide ribosomal RNA is filed under the name uncultured bacterium. RNAcentral describes it as "partial 16S ribosomal RNA". It matches the Rfam family "Bacterial small subunit ribosomal RNA", at positions 30 to 523 of the family's 1533-position model. The record is from RNAcentral.
AUUGAACGCUGGCGGCAGGCCUAACACAUGCAAGUCGAGCGGUAGCACAGAGAGCUUGCUCUCGGGUGACGAGCGGCGGACGGGUGAGUAAUGUCUGGGAAACUGCCUGAUGGAGGGGGAUAACUACUGGAAACGGUAGCUAAUACCGCAUAACGUCGCAAGACCAAAGUGGGGGACCUUCGGGCCUCAUGCCAUCAGAUGUGCCCAGAUGGGGUUAGGUGGUAGGUGGGGUAACGGCUCACCUAGGCGACGAUCCCUAGCUGGUCUGAGAGGAUGACCAGCCACACUGGAAGUGAGACACGGUCCAGACUCCUACGGGAGUGAGCAGUGGGGAAUAUUGCACAAUGGGCGCAAGCCUGAUGCAGCCAUGCCGCGUGUGUGAAGAAGGCCUUCGGGUUGUAAAGCACUUUCAGCGGGGAGGAAGGCAUUAAGGUUAAUAACCUUAGUGAUUGACGUUACCCGCAGAAGAAGCACCGGCUAACUCCGUGCCAGCAGCCGCCGUAA